AUUGAACGCUGGCGGCAUGCUUUACACAUGCAAGUCGAACGGUAACAGGCCUUCGGGUGCUGACGAGUGGCGAACGGGUGAGUAAUGCAUCGGAACGUGCCCAAAGGUGGGGGAUAACGCAGCGAAAGCUGUGCUAAUACCGCAUGUGAUCUGAGGAUGAAAGCGGGGGACCAAGCAGCAAUGUUUGGCCUCGCGCCUCUGGAGCGGCCGAUGUCAGAUUAGGUAGUUGGUGGGGUAAAGGCCUACCAAGCCGACGAUCUGUAGCUGGUCUGAGAGGACGACCAGCCACACUGGGACUGAGACACGGCCCAGACUCCUACGGGAGGCAGCAGUGGGGAAUUUUGGACAAUGGGCGCAAGCCUGAUCCAGCAAUGCCGCGUGCGGGAAGAAGGCCUUCGGGUUGUAAACCGCUUUUGUACGGAACGAAAAGGCUCUGGCUAAUACCUGGGGCUGAUGACGGUACCGUAAGAAUAAGCACCGGCUAACUACGUG
This 492-nucleotide ribosomal RNA is filed under the name uncultured bacterium. RNAcentral describes it as "partial 16S ribosomal RNA". It matches the Rfam family "Bacterial small subunit ribosomal RNA", at positions 30 to 507 of the family's 1533-position model. The record is from RNAcentral.